This 77-nucleotide transfer RNA is filed under the name Bacillota bacterium. Its description in RNAcentral is "tRNA-Arg". It matches the Rfam family "tRNA". Rfam says of the family: Transfer RNA (tRNA) molecules are approximately 80 nucleotides in length. The record is from RNAcentral. Lineage: Bacteria; Bacillati; Bacillota.
GUCCUCGUAGCUCAGCUGGAUAGAGUGAUUGCCUCCGACGCAAUAGGUCAAGGGUUCGAAUCCCUUCGAGGACACCA